UAAUACGUAGGAGGCGAACGUUAUUCGGAUUUACUGGGCGUAAAGGGAGCGUAGGCGGUUCUUCAAGUCAGGUGUGAAAUCUUCUGACUCAAUCAGAAGGCGCCAUCUGAUACUGAUGGACUUGAGAGCAACAGAGGGAAAUGGAAUCCCCAGUGUAGCGGUGGAAUGCGUAGAUAUUGGGGAGAACACCAGUGGCGAAGGCGAUUUCCCAGGUUGUUUCUGACGCUGAGGCUCGAAAGCGUGGGGAGCGAAGCGGAUUAGAUACCCGCGUAGUCCACGCCGUAAACGGUGGACACUAGAUAUAGGAGGUAUCGACCCUUUCUGUGUCGAAGCUAACGCUUUAAGUGUCCCGCCUGGGGAGUACGGCCGCAAGGCUA
RNAcentral lists this ribosomal RNA (377 nucleotides) under enrichment culture. Its description in RNAcentral is "bacterial SSU rRNA". It matches the Rfam family "Bacterial small subunit ribosomal RNA", at positions 521 to 896 of the family's 1533-position model. The record is from RNAcentral.